CCAAGGAGUCUAACAUGUGCGCAAGUCGUAGGGUCAGCUCGCAGAGCUAAACCCGAAGGCGAAAUGAAAGUGAAGGAAACCGGGACUUCAAAUUCUUCGGAGUUUGUUUUAGUCCACGGACCGAGGCGGGAUCCCGCGCUCGGCUUCGUAAACCGAGUGAUAAUCCGGGUCGGCUCGUUUUUUUUCCUUUCCGAAAGGGGGGAGAGAAAAACCCGGGGGCGCACCGCCGGCCCGUCUCGAUCGCAUAGGGCGGUGGGGUUGCAACCCAACCGGUCGAGGGGAAUUUAUUUCUCUCUUCCGGGAGGGGGAACGGCCUCCCGUCCGACCUAGUCGAUGAGGCGGAGCGAGAGCGCACACGUUGGGACCCGAAAGAUGGUGAACUAUGCCCGGGCAGGACGAAGCCAGAGGAAACUCUGGUGGAGGUCCGCAGCGAUUCUGACGUGCAAAUCGAUCGUCGGACCUGGGUAUAGGGGCGAAAGACUAAUCGAACCGUCUAGUAGCUGGUUCCCUCCGAAGUUUCCCUCAGGAUAGCUGGCGCUCGGGAAAAAGCAAGUCUCAUCCGGUAAAGCGAAUGAUUAGAGGCCUUGGGGCCGAAACGACCUCAACCUAUUCUCAAACUUUCAAUGGGUGAGAUGUCCGGCUUGCUCAAUUUGAAGCCCGGACAUCGGAUGCGAGUGCCCAGUGGGCCACUUUUGGUAAGCAGAACUGGCGCUGUGGGAUGAACCAAACGCCGGGUUACGGCGCCCGAUGCAGACGCUCAUCAGACCCCAUGAAAGGUGUUGGUUGCUAUUGACAGCAGGACGGUGGCCAUGGAAGUCGGAANNNNNNNNNNNNNNNNNNNNNNNNNUUCCAUGUGAACAGCAGUUGAACAUGGGUCAGUCGGCCCUAAGGAAUAGGGGAAACCCGUUCCGAAAAAACCGGGAAUUUGUAAAAAAAUGAAUGUAUUAAAAAAUACCCGAAUCGAUCGAAAGGGAAUCGGGUUAAUAUUCCCGAACCCGGACGCGGAGAUUGGCCCUCGCGGGUCAGAAGCGGUAACGCAUAACGAACUCGGAGAUCUUGUCGGCGGGGGUCCCGGAAAGAGUUUUCUUUUCUUUGUAAGGGACGGACUCCCUGGAAUCGGCUCGCCCGGAGAGAGGGACGUUGUUCCCGUAAAGCACCGCGGCUCUUGCGGUGUCCGGAGCGCUCCCGCCGGCCCUUGAAAAUCCGAGGGAGUGUAACUAAAUUUCCGCACCGGACCGUACCCAUAUCCGCAGCAGGUCUCCAAGGUGAACAGCCUCUAGUCGAUAGAACA
Molecule: ribosomal RNA, 1291 nt
Filed under: Tasmanophilus opinatus
Lineage: Eukaryota; Metazoa; Arthropoda; Chilopoda; Geophilomorpha; Geophilidae
Description: eukaryotic LSU rRNA
Rfam family: Eukaryotic large subunit ribosomal RNA
Source: RNAcentral